RNAcentral lists this ribosomal RNA (468 nucleotides) under uncultured bacterium. Its description in RNAcentral is "partial 16S ribosomal RNA". It matches the Rfam family "Bacterial small subunit ribosomal RNA", at positions 28 to 507 of the family's 1533-position model. The record is from RNAcentral.
GACGAACGCUGGCGGCGUGCUUAACACAUGCAAGUCGAACGGAAAGGCCCUGCUUUUGUUGGCUGCUCGAGUGGCGAACGGGUGAGUAACACGUGAGUAACCUGCCCUUGACUUUGGGAUAACUUCAGGAAACUGGGGCUAAUACCGGAUAGGAGCUCCUGCUGCAUGGUGGGGGUUGGAAAGUUUCGGCGGUUGGGGAUGGACGCGCGGCUUAUGAGCUUGUAGGUGGGGGAGUGGCUAAGGACGGCUUUGACGGCCAGCCGGCCUGGGAGUGUGACCGGGCCCAUGGGGACUCAGGUACGGCCCAGAGUGCAACGGGGGGCAGCAGUGGGGAAUAUUGCACAAUGGGCCGAAGCCUGAUGCAGCAACGCCGGGUGCGGGAUGACGGUCUUCGGGGUAGAAACCGCUUUCGCCUGUGACGAAGCGUGAGUGACGGUAACGGAUAAAGAAGCACCGGCUAACUACGUG